AAGGGGGCAGCAGGAACAAAUACAAAGUUUGGGAUGUCUUUGAUAAUGUGACUAUGCCAGAUCCGAAUGAGAAGGGAAAAAUGUUAUCAAAGGCAAAGUGCAAAUACUGUAAGAAGAUGUAUGCUUACAUACAAGGGUGCACAUGAUGGAACCCGUAGAUAUGUGGAAGAAGAUGAGGAGGAUGACAUUGAGAAUAUUUCAUUUCCAAAAAGCUUUGUAGAGAGUAACUAGCUGAAGAGUGGAGACAUCAGGACAUAGAGCUGGACUUCGCUCUUGCUUGCUGGAUGGUGCCUGGGCGCCUGGCUGCCUGCUUUUGUGGAAUGCUUGGAGCUGGACUUGGCUGUUGCUUGCUGGAUGGUACCCGGCUACCUGCUUUUGUGGAAUGCUUUUCCAGUAGAAUGCUUUUGUGGGUUGUGGCUGCUGCCUCGAAAUGUGUUGCCUCUGAAGUUUUUAUCUGUAGAUGAGUAGACAAAUGUUUAGCUCAUUAGUUGUUUUUUAUCUUGCGGUCUUGCCUGUGUACUGAAGUAUAAACCAUAUGCAAAGACUAUGUCUGCAUGAAUA
Panicum virgatum (switchgrass) is the source of this 561-nucleotide long non-coding RNA. RefSeq lists it as uncharacterized. NCBI's taxonomy places the organism in Eukaryota, Viridiplantae, Streptophyta, Magnoliopsida, Poales, Poaceae. The transcript has 3 exons. The record is from RefSeq and is a predicted model, not a curated record.